This 719-nucleotide ribosomal RNA is filed under the name uncultured Pseudomonadales bacterium. RNAcentral's name for it is "bacterial SSU rRNA". It matches the Rfam family "Bacterial small subunit ribosomal RNA", at positions 67 to 780 of the family's 1533-position model. The record is from RNAcentral. Lineage: Bacteria; Pseudomonadati; Pseudomonadota; Gammaproteobacteria; Pseudomonadales.
CGGAGAGAGGUAGCUUGCUACUGAUCUUAGCGGCGGACGGGUGAGUAAUACUUAGGAAUCUGGCUAUUAGUGGGGGACAACAUUUCGAAAGGGAUGCUAAUACCGCAUACGUCCUACGGGAGAAAGCAGGGGAUCUUCGGACCUUGCGCUAAUAGAUGAGCCUAAGUCGGAUUAGCUAGUUGGUGGGGUAAAGGCCUACCAAGGCGACGAUCUGUAGCGGGUCUGAGAGGAUGAUCCGCCACACUGGGACUGAGACACGGCCCAGACUCCUACGGGAGGCAGCAGUGGGGAAUAUUGGACAAUGGGGGGAACCCUGAUCCAGCCAUGCCGCGUGUGUGAAGAAGGCCUUAUGGUUGUAAAGCACUUUAAGCGAGGAGGAGGGUACUGGUAUUAAUACUACCAGGUACUGGACGUUACUCGCAGAAUAAGCACCGGCUAACUCUGUGCCAGCAGCCGCGGUAAUACAGAGGGUCCGAGCGUUAAUCGGAUUUACUGGGCGUAAAGCGUGCGUAGGCGGCUAAUUGAGUCGGAUGUGAAAUCCCCGAGCUUAACUUGGGAAUUGCAUUCGAUACUGGUUAGCUAGAGUGUGGGAGAGGAUGGUAGAAUUCCAGGUGUAGCGGUGAAAUGCGUAGAGAUCUGGAGGAAUACCGAUGGCGAAGGCAGCCAUCUGGCCUAACACUGACGCUGAGGUACGAAAGCAUGGGGAGCAAACAGGAUUA